RNAcentral lists this long non-coding RNA (915 nucleotides) under Equus caballus (horse). Its description in RNAcentral is "lncRNA (ENSECAG00000053410.1)". Lineage: Eukaryota; Metazoa; Chordata; Mammalia; Perissodactyla; Equidae. The record is from RNAcentral.
GAUGAGCAUCAGGGCCAUCUGAAGACCAGGUGUUUCCCAUAUUGAAGUAGAGUCAGGCUUUUUAUAGCAGAGAGGAAAGUUGCCUACGAGUGAUUUUGUCUUGACAGAAAUUUUCAGCUUCGAAACUUGAGAUUAGCCCUGAGCCAACAUCAGCUGCCAAUCCUCCUCUUUUUGCUGAGGAAGACUGGCCCUGAGCUAACAUCUGUGCCCAUCUUCCUCUACUUUAUAUGAGGGGUCCCUGCCACAACAUGGUUUGACAAGUAGUGCAUAGGUCUGAACCCAGGAUCUGAACCAGUGAAGGCUGGGCUGCCAAAGAAGAAUGUGCAAACUUAACUGCUUUGCCACCACACCUGACUCUCCUUGUUGACUUUCUAUCUGGAUGAUCUAUCCAUUGAUGGUGAAGGAGCAAAGUUCUGUGUUACCGGGUGUCCUUUCCAGGAAACAUCAAGAUAUUUUAUGCAUAGAAGACGUUAACAGUUUAUCUUCUGAAUUUGAAGCCUAAUUUUAUGAAAAGCAAUAUCAAGAAUGUUCAAGGAGACAAGACAGGAGCAUAAGUCAUUAUUUUUCACAGUCAAAAAUAUUUAUUACAGGGGGCUGGCCCAUUCUUGGAUUGUCGCAAUAGCCUCCUACUCAUUCUUUGACACAACUGAGUCACUAUGGGAUGAUGACAUUUGCAUAUACUUUUAAGGAAAAAAUAAAGUUAUUAGUUUAUGUGCACUAUAUAUCCUUCAUCAAACGAAAUUUAAUAUAUACUCAUGCAUAGAAUCAAUAGAGUAAGCACAUACAUAUAAUAUUAAUAAUUGUGAUUAGUGUAAGAUCCUUAAUUGUGUAUAUUUUUAUUUAUUUCUUCAUUUUCUUCAACGAAUAUGUAUGCUUUGGUCAUAGAUUAAAUUUAUUUUCAAAGAAACUCUUACU